Long non-coding RNA from Nicotiana attenuata, 624 nucleotides. RefSeq lists it as uncharacterized. The transcript has 2 exons. The record is from RefSeq and is a predicted model, not a curated record. NCBI's taxonomy places the organism in Eukaryota, Viridiplantae, Streptophyta, Magnoliopsida, Solanales, Solanaceae.
AAAAACCUACGCCAGCAGCCCAUUAGCCUAAUUUGGCAGCCCCCAAUCCUCCAUAGAAGCAAAACUAAGUCUUCUGAUUUUCUUCCUCUCUCACAUGCGCCCCUUUUGUCCUGAGAUACGAUCGAAUAUACUAAGUUUUAGCUGCCUACAUCCGCACAAAUUGAGCCGCUGCUCUACGCUACUCUGCUUCCCUUCACCAUUAUUUUUGUCUCUCAAAAACUCUAUAUCUUUUCCUUUCUGUCUCGGUGGACUUUGACCGUGACAGAGGUUUCGGAAGUCAUUUGGCACGGGGUUCAGAUCUUUCCAUAGCGAGAGAGUAGAUUCGAGGCCAACGUCAGUCCUGGUUCACUGACCAAAAUAGCGUUCUUGAGUCGCUUCAAGACUCGACCUUGCCGUUAGACCAAGAACCCGUAUUUAUAUCUUCCUCCAUGUCGUCAUGCCUCUCUCUCGCCCUCUCAAGAUGCUUCCGAACAAAAUUGAAAGAGAGGGAGGGAACUGUGACAUCCUGUUAUACUUUGCUACGAUUUCCUACCAUUGUUGAAUUUUAUAUCUGACAUUUACUUGGCUGUAGUUUGUGCUUGGAAAAGUUUACAGUUAUUUUAUAAGUUCUAACUUAGCUAAAAA